UACGAAGGGGGCUAGCGUUGUUCGGAAUCACUGGGCGUAAAGCGCGCGCAGGUGGUUCCUUAAGUCUGAUGUGAAAGCCCACGGCUCAACCGUGGAGGGUCAUUGGAAACUGGGGAACUUGAGUGCAGAAGAGGAAAGUGGAAUUCCAAGUGUAGCGGUGAAAUGCGUAGAGAUUUGGAGGAACACCAGUGGCGAAGGCGACUUUCUGGUCUGUAACUGACACUGAGGCGCGAAAGCGUGGGGAGCAAACAGG
Molecule: ribosomal RNA, 253 nt
Filed under: uncultured bacterium
Lineage: Bacteria
Description: partial 16S ribosomal RNA
Rfam family: Bacterial small subunit ribosomal RNA
Source: RNAcentral